Molecule: ribosomal RNA, 576 nt
Filed under: Kluyveromyces marxianus
Lineage: Eukaryota; Fungi; Ascomycota; Saccharomycetes; Saccharomycetales; Saccharomycetaceae
Description: eukaryotic LSU rRNA
Rfam family: Eukaryotic large subunit ribosomal RNA
Source: RNAcentral
UCAAAAGCGGAGGAAAAGAAACCAACCGGGAUUGCCUUAGUAACGGCGAGUGAAGCGGCAAAAGCUCAAAUUUGAAAUCUGGCGUCUUCGACGUCCGAGUUGUAAUUUGAAGAAGGCGACUUUGUAGCUGGUCCUUGUCUAUGUUCCUUGGAACAGGACGUCAUAGAGGGUGAGAAUCCCGUGUGGCGAGGAUCCCAGUUAUUUGUAAAGUGCUUUCGACGAGUCGAGUUGUUUGGGAAUGCAGCUCUAAGUGGGUGGUAAAUUCCAUCUAAAGCUAAAUAUUGGCGAGAGACCGAUAGCGAACAAGUACAGUGAUGGAAAGAUGAAAAGAACUUUGAAAAGAGAGUGAAAAAGUACGUGAAAUUGUUGAAAGGGAAGGGCAUUUGAUCAGACAUGGCGUUUGCUUCGGCUUUCGCUGGGCCAGCAUCAGUUUUAGCGGUUGGAUAAAUCCUCGGGAAUGUGGCUCUGCUUCGGUAGAGUGUUAUAGCCCGUGGGAAUACAGCCAGCUGGGACUGAGGAUUGCGACUUUUGUCAAGGAUGCUGGCGUAAUGGUUAAAUGCCGCCCGUCUUGAAACA